CCUACGGGAGGCAGCAGUGAGGAAUAUUGGUCAAUGGGCGCGAGCCUGAACCAGCCAAGUAGCGUGAAGGAUGACUGCCCUACGGGUUGUAAACUUCUUUUAUAAAGGAAUAAAGUGAGGCACGUGUGCCUUUUUGUAUGUACUUUAUGAAUAAGGAUCGGCUAACCCCGUGCCAGCAGCCGCGGUAAUUCGGAGGAUCCGAGCGUUAUCCGGAUUUAUUGGGUUUAAAGGGAGCGUAGAUGGGUUGUUAAGUUAGUUGUGAAAGUUUGGGGCUCAACCGUAAAAUUGCAAUUGAUACUGGCAGCCUUGAGUACGGUUGAGGUAGGCGGAAUGCGUGGUGUAGCGGUGAAAUGCUUAGAUAUCACGAAGAACUCCGAUUGCGAAGGCAGCCUACUGAACUGCCACUGACGUUGAUGCUCGAAAGUGUGGGUAUCAAACAGGAUUAGAUACCCUAGUAGUC
Molecule: ribosomal RNA, 460 nt
Filed under: uncultured bacterium
Lineage: Bacteria
Description: partial 16S ribosomal RNA
Rfam family: Bacterial small subunit ribosomal RNA
Source: RNAcentral